UACGACUACAUAUCAGGCAUAUCAAUAAGCGGAGGAAAAGAAACUAACAAGGAUUCCCCUAGUAACGGCGAGUGAAGCGGGAAGAGCUCAAAUUUGAAAUCUUAAAGGGUUUCCCUUUACGAAUUGUAGUUUAAAGAAGUGUUUUCUGUUGGAGUUUUGGUAAAAGUUCUUUGGAAUAGGACAUCAUAGAGGGUGAGAAUCCCGUAUUUGACCAUUAUUUCCAGCUGUGUGAUACACUUUCAAAGAGUCGGAUUGUUUGGGAAUGCAGUCCAAAAUGGGUGGUAAAUUUCAUCUAAAGCUAAAUAUUGGCGAAAGACCGAUAGCGGACAAGUACCGUGAGGGAAAGAUGAAAAGAACUUUGAAAAGAGAGUUAAACAGUACGUGAAAUUGUCAAAAGGGAAGCGUUUGACACCAGUGUUGUUUUCUCGAAAAUCAAUUAAAAAGAGUUGGAUUUUGUAUUGUUAAGACCUUAUCAGCUUACUGUACUUUUUUCUUGAUUCUUUUUAAUGCACUUUUCGUUUAACAAGUCAACAUCAAUUUCUUUUGUUGUAAAAGAGUCAUUGGAAGGUGGCUUUCACUUCGGUGAAAGUGUUUAUAGCCUUUGGCUUCUGCAAUCGGAGAGAUUGAGGUCUGCAGCGUAGAUCCUUCGGGGUUAGAUACAGUUAGAUGCUAAGUUAUAGUUUUUCAUAGACAACAUGUUGACUAUGAUUAAUCAUGUAGCUUACUCGUUUGCGCUAUUUUACCUACGCUUAGGAUGUUGAAUCUGUGCGAGACUAC
This 777-nucleotide ribosomal RNA is filed under the name uncultured Neocallimastigales. Its description in RNAcentral is "partial large subunit ribosomal RNA". It matches the Rfam family "Eukaryotic large subunit ribosomal RNA", at positions 24 to 644 of the family's 3401-position model. The record is from RNAcentral. Lineage: Eukaryota; Fungi; Neocallimastigomycota; Neocallimastigomycetes; Neocallimastigales.